CCCUUAGAUGUCCUGGGCCGCACGCGUGCUACACUGAUGCAUACGGCGAGUACUUUCCAGCUCCGCGAGGCAGCUGGUAAUCAGCAAUAUGCAUCGUGCUGGGGAUAGAUCUUUGGAAUUAUAGAUCUUGAACGAGGAAUUCCUAGUAAGCGCAAGUCAUUAGCUUGCGCUGAUUAAGUCCCUGCCCUUUGUACACACCGCCCGUCGCUCCUACCGAUUUCGAGUGAUUCGGUGAACCUUUUGGACAGCGUCUGUCCUCGUGUCAGAUGCUGAAAGUCAAGUAAACCAUAUCACUUAGAGGAAGGAGAAGUCGUAACA
RNAcentral lists this ribosomal RNA (318 nucleotides) under uncultured eukaryote. RNAcentral's name for it is "partial 18S ribosomal RNA". It matches the Rfam family "Eukaryotic small subunit ribosomal RNA", at positions 1470 to 1796 of the family's 1831-position model. The record is from RNAcentral.